CUCACAUUCUACUCUGUGAGGAAUCCUAGGAAAGACGGAUUCUAGGUCAAAUGAAUUUGGGAAACAGACUUUGUGCUGUGUUUAUCUCUCGGAAAUUCAGUCUAUUAAAGGCUCUGAAGAGUCCUAGAGUAGAAGCACCUGCUUGGCCUGUGCACUGUAGCAUUCCAAACACGGCAUGGAGGCAGCCCUGACCCACCCAGCCCUGCCGGCCACCUUCUCUGGGGAAGGCCACCCGACCCUGAGUCGAAUCCCAACAUUCUAUGAUGCUGUCAUUCAACAUGGGUGAGUUCCAGCCAGCUCUUCCAAGCACCCACAGGCACUCACGUCACCCAUACUCUAGGACAGUGUGACAUCAUAAAAAUAAUUAUUUGGUCUCUGGCACAAUCACAAGGCUCCUAAAACCCUUGUCAUUUCCUGAGCCACAGGGGUUUUAGGAGCAUCUUUCAUUCUAGUGUUUGGUCUUUGACCCCGGUUCCCAACAAACAGCUCCUACUCCCUUGGAAUUUAUUGGGUGAUGGGAGUGUCUUGUUCUAAUGAAGCAACUCUAAUGGGCUCCUGGACGGGGCUGGUCACCAGAAAGACCAGGUUAUGCUGAGAAGCUUGAAACCGUCAGUCCCCCGCCACCCCAUCCUCUGGGAAGGGAAGAGGAGCUGGAGAUCAUGCCCAUGUGAUGAGGCCUCCGUCAAAGUCCUUGCACUCCGGGAUGUGGCUGCCGGACAUGCGGAGGCGCUGGGAGAGCGGCACACCUGGAGAGGGCGUGGAAGCUCCAACACCCCACCUCCACACCGCGUGCUAUGCAUCUCUCCCGUCCAGCUGCUCCUGGGUUUCAGUCUUUCCUAAUGAACAGGCUUCUGCACUUCUGAUGACUCCAUCCAGAUCUCCAGCUUGUCCUGUGGACCCAUCCAUGCAGAAGCAGACUCGGCAGGCACAAGGACCAUUUUCCACACCCCUAUGAUUGCACCUCAUCCAAUCAGCAGCACCCACUCCCUAGUCCCCAGCUCCCUCCAGAUUAUCCUUGAAAAACCCUAGCCUCUGAAUUUUGGGGGAGAUUGACUUAAGUAAUAAAAUUCCAGUCUCCCACUUAGCCAGCUCUGUGUGAACUAAACUCUUUCUCUAUUGCAAUUCCCAUCUUGGUAAGUCAGCUCCAUCUGGGCAGCGGGCAAGGUGAAUCCAGUGGGCGGUCACAGUGACGCCUUUGCUUUCUGAUGGUUUAAUGUACACAAACUUUGUUUCAUGCAGAAAAUUAUGAAAAGUAUUGUAUUAAAUUAACUUCAGGCUAUGUGUAUAAGGUCUAUAUAAAACAAACAAAUUUUGUACUUUGACUUAGGUCCCAGCCCCAAGAUAUCUCAUUAGGUAGUACAUAUAAAUAUUCCAUAUCCUGAAAAAGUCAAAAAUCCAAAAUAUUUCUUGUCUCAAGCAUUUUGGAUAAAAGAUAUUCAACCUGUAUAGGAGAUUAAGAGAAACUGCAGCUGGAAAGAGACCUCAGAAAUACAGUGAUAUAAUUCCACUUCUUUAUCUUUCAGAUGAGUCAACUGAGGUAAAGAGCAACCUGGCUGAAGGUCAACAGCAGGGCUUUUUAAUCAGAUCCAUGCUGCCCCAAAAUAAUGAAACCCUGGAUCAGCUUCUUUUCCAAAUCUUGAGAAUACAGGCUCCUGGGCUGUGAAAUACAAUUUGAAAAUGUUUCUCUUCUAACAAAGAGUGCAAUGUCUUGAGUACUUUAACAUACUGUUUUCUGAAAUCUCACUGUUUGCUGGUAGGUAUCAAUGGCUUUGGUGUGGGGCGUCUGAUAUGUCUAUAUAAAGAAUCUCAUGCUGCCCCAGGAAAAAGCACAUAUAUCCAUAUUUUUGUUUGAUUUUGUAAAGCUUAUUGUACAAGAUCACAUUUUUGUUUUAAUAAAGAACAAAAAUGAAGUUUCAACAUUUGUGAAGAAACAUAGUUUUUGAGAGAAGAUAAUUUGGUCAGAAGCAUUACUUGUUAUUUUGCCUUCUAUUAAAGUUUUCUCAGAAAUCAGAUUCCCUAUGUGAAAAAUCUGACUUCUGUAUAAUAGGUGUAUUGUAUAAUCUGUACUUUUAAGAAGUUUAAAAAUGGCCAGGCACGGUGGCUCACGUCUAUAAUCCCAGCACUUUGGGAGGCUGAGGCGGGUGGAUCACUUGAGGUCAGGAGUUCAAGACCAGUUUGGCCAACAUGGAGAAAUGUACUACUAAAAAUACAAAAUCAGCUGGGUGUGGUGGCGCAUGCCUGUAAUCCCUGCUACUCAGGAGGCUGAGGCAGGGGAGUCGCUUGAAUCCGGGAGGUGGAGGUUGUGGUGAGCUGAGAUCACGCCAUUGCACUCCAGUGUGGGCAACGAGAUCGAAACUCCGUCUCAAAAAAGAAAAAAAACCAAAAAGUUUAAAAAUGGCUGGGCACGGUGGCUCACGCCUGUAAUCCCAGC
Molecule: long non-coding RNA, 2431 nt
Filed under: Homo sapiens (human)
Lineage: Eukaryota; Metazoa; Chordata; Mammalia; Primates; Hominidae
Description: HSALNT0298939
Source: RNAcentral